RNAcentral lists this ribosomal RNA (397 nucleotides) under uncultured bacterium. RNAcentral describes it as "partial 16S ribosomal RNA". It matches the Rfam family "Bacterial small subunit ribosomal RNA", at positions 523 to 918 of the family's 1533-position model. The record is from RNAcentral.
AUACGUAGGGGGCGAGCGUUGUCCGGAAUGAUUGGGCGUAAAGGGCGCGUAGGCGGCUUUGCAAGUCAGUAGUGGAAGUCCAUUUUUCAAGGAUGGAAGUGCUACAGAAACUGCGGAGCUUGAGUGCAGGAGAGGUUAUCGGAAUUCCCGGUGUAGCGGUGAAAUGCGUAGAGAUCGGGAGGAACACCAGUGGCGAAGGCGGGUAACUGGACUGCAACUGACGCUGAGGCGCGAAAAUGUGGGGAGCAAACAGGAUUAGAUACCCUGGUAGUCCACACUGUGAACGAUGAAUUCAAGGUGUAGGAAGUAUCGACCCCUUUUGUGCCGGAGUCAAAACAAUAAGCAUUCCGCCUGGGGAGUACGGUCGCAAGGUUGAAGCUCAAAGGAAUUGACGGGG